Molecule: ribosomal RNA, 253 nt
Filed under: uncultured bacterium
Lineage: Bacteria
Description: partial 16S ribosomal RNA
Rfam family: Bacterial small subunit ribosomal RNA
Source: RNAcentral
UACGAAGGGGGCUAGCGUUGCUCGGAAUUACUGGGCGUAAAGGGCGCGUAGGCGGGUCGUUAAGUUAGAGGUGAAAGCCCAGGGCUCAACCCUGGAAUUGCCUUUAAUACUGUCGACCUCGAGUAUGGCAGAGGUGUGUGGAACUCCGAGUGUAGAGGUGAAAUUCGUAGAUAUUCGGAAGAACACCAGUGGCGAAGGCGACACACUGGGCCAUUACUGACGCUGAGGCGCGAAAGCGUGGGGAGCAAACAGG